This 899-nucleotide long non-coding RNA is filed under the name Cricetulus griseus (Chinese hamster). RNAcentral's name for it is "lncRNA (ENSCGRG00015036416.1)". Lineage: Eukaryota; Metazoa; Chordata; Mammalia; Rodentia; Cricetidae. The record is from RNAcentral.
UUCCUUCCCUCCCUCCCUCCCUCCCUCCCUCCCUCCCUCCCUCCCUCCCUCCCUCCCUCCCUCCUCCACCUCCUCCUAUCCUUUACCUUUCCCCCCAGUCCCAGGGAAAUCUUAGUGGGGUGAAAGGGAACAAGGCAGGGAAGGACUUUGCGGUGGGAUGGAGCUGGGAGGGUCAGGCUGGGGAAAUCACCACGCUGGGAAACUGGGGGUAUCACACAUGGCUGCUCCUUGAAUGUUCUGUGAGUGAGCAGCCCUGCUGUUCGGCCCAGAACCUGCUGGUCUGGGGAUUCUCAUCAGCGACAGACCUGCCCCACACUCUCCUGGUUCUGGUUGGACGAGACCACUGCUUGACUUGCCAUCACGUGCUUGCAGAGUCCCAGGGAGCAGCAGCGACCCCAGCAGAAGCUGGAGGAGAGAAGGGGGACGUCUCCUCCUCUUCACACAGCCCCAGCCAGGUAAAGGUUGGGAACAUUGACGAGCCCUCAUCCAGUGGCUGAUGGAAGCAGAGACAGACAUCCACAGAUAUACACUGAGCUGAAAUCUGGAAUUUAGUUGAAGAGAGGGAAUGAAGAGCGAAGGGGUCUGUACCAGAUUGGAGAAUCCCUCAGAAACAGUUGAACUGAACAAGGGGGAGCACAUCGACCCCAGAUGCUGUCGGGGAGGCCAGUACAAGACUGAUCCAGACCCCUGAACAUGGAUGUCAAUAAGGAGGCCUCUGCACUCCAGGGAGCCUCUGGUGGUGGAUUAGUAUUUUUCCCUGGUGCAAGAAGGGACUUUGAGAGCCCAUCCCACGUGAAGGGUUACACUCUGGCCCUGGACACAUGGGGAAGGGCCCAGGACCAGCACAGGAAGAUUUGGUGGACUUUGCAGAGCCCCCGUUGAGGGCCCUACCCUGCCUG